CAAGAGGUUGCGGGGCGAUGGUGGAAGGUUUAACGGGACCAAUUUCUGGAACAUUCGGGACUGCGGCACCCUACGGCCAAGACCGAGAUUUGGGUCUGCGCAGGCGACGAUGGGUGGUCCGACGGGCUUCAGGACUUGAUGGCGUAACCCCCUUCUUCCCCCACGUACGUAUCUGCUGGGAUCGGGGGCGAUGUCUCUGCGUAUGUGGGUGCUCUGUCUUUCUCACCUUCUUUCUCGCUUUUUUGCUAUUUUUUCUCUGAGAGAGGUUUUUUGUGUGUGUGUUUUUUUUUUUUUCCACUUUAAUUUUCUUUUCUUUUAGUGUCAGCUGCUCAAGCCUGACCGGGGUAGAGGCUAGAGGAGCAAGCUGUCCCCAGCGUCCCACCUGACCUACCAGCCUUUGCCCCCGUUUCCUUCUUUUGAACAGACAGACAGACUGGUUUUCCAGGUUGUUUGGGUAUCCGCGUCAGUCUGUCCAUCCACGUCGUUCUUAGGUGGCAGGUAGGAAGUGAGGAGGAGAGGUGCUGGGAGGAAGGUGGAGAGCCAUAGCUUUCCAGGGGUUGCCUUAUUGAAAUGUUCAGCCUCGGGGCAGCUGGGCUGGUGGGGAGCCGGUGGGCAGGAUGGGGCGUGGGUUGGGAGAAGUGGGGUAAAGCUGGUAGGUUUGUCACUGCGUAGUUGGGAAAAGUGGGGAAUGGUGACGCAGUCACUGUUGCAUCUUGUUAGGAGCUCCAAGGGGGACAGGUAGUGAGGCUCCCGGCAUCUGUAGGGCCAGCUGAGAGGGGUUAGGGAUGAGCUGAGAAGGGAAGCUAGCAUUUAGAGAUUAAAUGUCAUCCUUUUGGCGUUGGAAAGUUGUUUACCUUGCGCUCUCUGUGUCUCCAUGUUGGCACCCUUCCAGUUCACAUGUGAUGGCCUUCCUUGUACUGCUGCAUCAUUAACUAAGUGACUGAGCUGGCCUUCCAUUGGCCAGGGGAGGGCUCUCACUCCAGACAUUUCCUCUGAUUGGUGGGUGGGCCAAUGGCAGGUGAAAACCUUUUUUUGAUUGGCUGAGGGCAGGGUAUCAAAUCUGAAUUUGCAUUUCACUUGCUUAAAGGGGAGGGGGGGAGAAGCCCAGCAGCUUUCUAAAAUCUGUUUAGGGGUGUGCGUAUGCUCCUGUGUCUGUGCCUGCUUUUGACUGACCAGGUGAAGCCUCUUCCUAUGCCUUUUUUAUUUCAAGCACUCAGAGGAAGAGGAGCUCCGGGUUCCCCAAACUUUUUUUUUUUUUUUUUUGGAGUAGGAAGGGUUGGAGAGAUGGGUGCGCAGAGGGUUGACCAAACUGGAAGGAAGUAUUUGUCCUUUAGUUUGGUGUCGGAAAAGGGAAUUUUCCAAUCAGCCACACCUCGGUGUUGCGGCACAAUAAUUCUUGGCUCCCCUGGAAACGCACGGGGCAAGGUAGGACAGAUCUGCUGCUGCUGACACUGCCACCACCAUGGGCUUCCUGCUGCCUCUGGGCUGCUCCCUGGGGACGAGAGAUUUGCAUUGACGGGGCUGUCCAGAGCUGAGCCCAGUGUGGGAAAGACCUGCCUUCUGGAAGCUGCUGCUCCUUGGUCUUGGAAAGGUGCCACGUCAGGCUGUUCCAUGGACCUUCUUUCAUUUACUGCUUUCCACAACCCUCCGAGGAGAGUCCCGUGACUGGUAAGUGUUCUGAUCAUGAUUAGAACCCCUGUUUCCCCAAACCUUUGCCUCCUUCUUUACCUCUCAGUUCUCAGUGUCUGCCACGUGGCUCUUACAAGGUAGAUCCCCAGAAUGUGUCUGUUUAAGGAAUUUCAUACACCUCUAAUGCCAUAUGGGAGUUUGGGUGGCCGCUCUUCCUGCGCCCGAGGUCUGGGUCUCGUAGCUGUUCCACGCUCCCCUGGACCCUGCUACCUCGUUAACUUUCUCCUCUUCCUUUGCGGUCAGGUUCACUCAAGAUGAUGGCUUUUUUUUCUUUCUUUUUUUUUUUUUUUUUUUUUUUGUAGCUGAAAUUUUGUUGGAUUAACAAACCUCAGUUAUCCUACUUACCUUCCUCCUGGAAGAGAAGGUGGAGGUGGGAUGGUUGUAGUACCUUCGGAGCAGAGUGAGCUCCAGAACCCAGGAUCAGUGGAGAUCGGACAAGGCAGGGAGCAGGACCAUUGCACUUGGAUCUUGACCCUGCCUCAUCUUGUUAGGUGGUUUUUCUGAGGCUUAGUGACCUCAGUCAGUGACAUGGAGCCACUGUAAUCUACAGUGAAAUGCCUAAUAUAUUGCCAAGCCAACAGGCUCCCGACAGAAAGUGGUGCACCUCCCUUUCCCCUGCCCAGCUGUUUUAUCGGGGACUUAAGAAGAGUACAUAGCAGGUGGCUGGAGAAGGAAUGGGGGGAAAGGAGCUUGCCUGCCUUCAGUGAUACCAGAGGCAGGGGAGGAGGUGACCGGGCAUUGCACACCUGAAGCCUGCGAGGAAGUGCUUUUCCCUGACCUGGAGUAAAGACCCCCUUAACUUCUGCAUCGGGAAAACGCUGUGGGAGCAGAGCCGUGAGGUCAGGGUGGGUGGUGGCAGCGUGAGGGUUAACCAGUGAUCCUUCCUGGGAGCCUCGUGACGCCAGGUUAGCUUCCCCUCUUUCCGAAUCGAAUCGCAGCAGUGGCUGCCUGCUUCCUGACGCUGCUGCAUCCCGUGGGAGGGGAGUUGGGCACCCUGAAGCCCCUCGUCACCGAUUCCGGGGCUGCAGAGCAGAGAGUGACGACAGCCCAUGAGUCGUCAGCCGACGGCAAUGGGGACCCUGGUGACGGCUGCUUUGUUGUGUUUUUCCUCUUUGGAUGAUGACUCAGUGUGUCGGGAGCUGGGAGAUGGGGCACUCAGCCGAAUGGCCAGGACGUUCUGUCAACAUGAAAGCAGCAAAAACAGCUUAUCGGGGCUCAGAGCCGACCCUUAGGCUGGGUUCAUUUUCAGGAAGGGCUUGGCAGAGGAGAGCACUUCUGGACAUCGGGGGUGGGGAGACAAGGCCAGGUAACCCAACAGGGGUCUGUGGACCCUUCAGUUUCAGAAACCAAAAAGAAAAUGCAGCUGCUUGUGUUAUUAGAUAAGCUUGGCAAACGGUCAUUUUACAAGCUCCUCUCACCCGUCCCAAACAAGAGACAUCUUCUCAGGGCCAGAAAACCCUCCGGGAUUUCUCACCAUGGCUCAUUGUCAUAGAUGGAGGGUGAGCCCGUCUCGGGUAGGGUGGGCCUGGGAGUCCUUAGUGAUCACUGGCAUUCCGGGGCCCCGGAAGCAAGAGCCCAUGGUGGGGACGUGGCGUCUCAGGUGACCUCUGCUGGCAUCACACCAGCAGACGGUGUCACCCACCAGAAGAUGGUGGGUCCACGUCACCGGCCUCAAGCCGAAGGCCAGCUCUGGCACAGCCUACUUCAGCCUCCCCUUUCCUUAUUGUCCCGAGUCAAACUUACCUUCUCCCCUUUCAUCGUCCUCAAUUCCUUCUUAGGUGAAAUAGUGGGCCUUGAGUCCUUGACCUUUGUGUGUGUGUGUGUGUGCGUCAUCAUGGCGGCUCAGGGUUCUAGACUUUUCUUGAAUCUGCAGCAUUGCGCUAAGGGCGCGUGACAUUCCCCCCCGCCCCGCCCGCCCGGCCCCGCCCAACCAUGGCCAGCCAUGCCUUCUUGGGAGCAAGAGAGGCCUGGGCCUCCAUUGCCACUGAAUCUCAGGCAAACCACUAUCCUCAGCAUCUGGCUUCCCUUCUCUCCUCUGUCUCCCUCGGCCCUGUCUGGGGACAGAGGAGCAAAUAACUUGUGGGUGGGGAAUUGAGGACGGCCUGGCCCGGGACCACCCUGCCUAUGUACCCCUUAGGCCAUUUUUCAGUCUCCUGCUUUCCCAUAGAUGAUGCUUAGCACUGACAUUUGUCGCCGAGCACCUCCUCCGCUCCCCAAGGACCUCCCAGUGUGACUCAUUUGGGAUCUCUGCAAGGAGUGGCUUUGGGGCCUUGGGAGCCAGAGGGAGCAGGAAGACCUGGUGGAGGUCACAGUGGAGAGGUACGCAGGGCAAAGGACGAGAGCCGGCUGUCCCUGGCCCAGAAUGCAAAGGCAGCCCCAGCCCCUUUGUGUCAUGUCAUUUUGAGCCUGAAUAGAGAGCAACUUGACCUAAAAAAAAAUCGUAUAUAUGUGGAUGUUAGAUCCUUUGUGUCUCUUUGUCCAGAAGCUGCGCAUAUGACGAGGGCUCAGAUUCUGUACUUCAGAGAGCUCUGCUGUCCCUCAGGUUUGUUUUCCGAAGGAGGUGGUAGUUCCUCUUUGAUGAGACCCUGUGCCCACGGGGACUGGACUUUUCUCCAGGACAAGGGGCACAGCCUUGUCUUGUUGCUAUCAUUGGAUAGUGAGCAGCAGCUGAAGACCAUGGUCCCGGGGCCACAUAUUAGCCCCAGAUGGAACCCUGAUUGGGGCUUGCAGAAUUCAUUGCUUGGCUGGCUGGCCCCAAGAGCUGAGCCUACCUGGCUUCCUUUCACUUCUUCCCCACAGAGAACUCAGAGGAGUUGAGCUCCAUGAGUCGGUGACGGCCUCUUGGAGACUCAGGCUAAGCUGGGGACAGAGCUGGUGUGCAGAAGACAGCCAUCAUACCGCCUAAUAGAAUGGCCCGUUUGCAUUUAUUUGGAACAAAAAAAGGAGAUGCCUGGCGGCCUGGCUUUCUGCAGCUAAGUAUUCGUCUGCAUUCUGGUUUUCCGUCACACAUCGGAAGCGAUAGAUGUUCAUUGAACCCACCCAGCUGCCGUGACUUCUCCUUUCCCCGCGCACCCCUGCCCCUGAUCCUCCAGCAGAGAUUGGAUUUUCUGGUGCGGCUGGAGAGCUGCAGAGAGGCUAGAUCCCAGUGUCCAGCCCCCGCACGUCGCCCUCACAUUCAGGAGAAGUCGAUUUUCCCUAAAGCGGAGCCUAAAGCCCAUGUCCCUCAGUGCGGUGUUAUUAAUGGGCCGACGGGAAGGGCCCUGCUUGCCCUCACUGCCCCCAGCGGGGAGGUGAGGCUCUCGGCUGGCUGGCUGGGGGAGGACGGUCCUUGCCAGCAUCUAGCAUGGUUCUCUGCCAAGUUCUAGCUCCAAAUCUCUAGGCCGCUAGGAACCUAGACUAUAUAUAGCAUUGUGCUAAGCAAUUCUUAUCGGACAUGUCUGCCCUCCCCUGCGGGAGAGGAGCCCUUCUCCCAGGGAACCGGAACCUAGAGAGUGUGAGCCUUCUCCAAGGGGUCUUUCGUUCCAGGAAGGGCUGUGUGUGUGUGUGCGUGUGUGUGUGUGUGUGUGUGUGUGUGUGUGUGCACGCGCGCGCGGCUGUGUCUGCUUCAGGGCUGCCAAGCUUUCUUCCCUUUUCCCUGUUUCAGAUGCUGCGAGAUCGGAAGGUCUGAUUGGGAUGAGGGCCAGGAGGUUCUUGAUGGUGUGCGAUGUGGCCUAUGGCGCCCACCAGCCUCCCGCAUGUCUUCUUGGUUUCCUGUUUGCCUUCUUUGCCCAAGGAGGUCUUCUGACCUCUUGAGCUUCUUUUGGAUCUCCUGUCUUCCCUGCCCUCCUCUACCUCUUCCUCCUCCUUCCUUUGAUUCUCUUUCGGGUGUGUGACGGCAGACUGGGCUACGGGCAUCCGGGAGCUGUGUCUGCUCGCUGCCCUCACCACCGCCCCCUCCCCCCCCCCCACCACCAGUUUGGGGUUUCUGGAAAUCUGGCUUUAGUCAGCCGUCCUCUGGAGGAAUUGGGUGGUGACUGAGCGUUUCGUGCUGGGUGGUACGGGGCAGAGCAGGCUGGAUAUUUGCCUCCUCCCUCCCAUAGGUGCUGUCGAGCCACCGAUUUUCUGUGGUUCCGCGACCCCGAGUGCUGACUGAUGUGACAGGUUCCGGUCUUGUCAGUGAAUCGUCGCCAAGCUGCUUAUUGGAACCCAGAUGCAACAAGAAAAUGGGAUUUAACCCCUUCCCAGCCUCUCAGGUAAGUCAGGUGUGGGCUGACGCUUCCGGCCCCACCCCCCCACCUCCCAGCCCCCUUCCCUUCUCAUGGAGACCGUUUUCCUUAGUCAGUGGGGAAUCCUCAAACGUCUCCAUUCACAAUCUCCCAAACAAUGCUCUCUUCUUUCCAUUCUCCUACUCCUGGCUUUUCUGUGAAUGGGGUUAGUAACCAGCAAGGACUUGGGGGAAGGGCCAGCCACAGUGAUCCGGCUGCCGGGAUGUGGGAGAUGGCAGGGACGCGUUUCUGGGUGUGGCAGUCAGCAGAGCAGUUGGGCCUCCCACAGUGACUGGCCGGGAACUCUCCUUGGCCCCCAACAUCCAGCAUGAGAUUCUGGGUUUGAGCCCGGUUGGGGGCAGGGAGUCUGCCUGGGACUUGGGUGUGCCCUUGCUUGUGUAUCCCAGUGGAUGUUCACUCUGACUCUGGACACCUUGGGGCUUGCGUCUGCAGCCGUAGCCUGGAGCUUAGACUAUGGGCUGGGCAGUAGACUUCAGGGCUCUUUCUCCACUUGCGUGUGUCAUGGGGCUUGUUUUGGGGUUUUUUUUGUUUUUUGUUUUGAGUAAAUCACUCUCUUCUUCUAGGCCCUCAUUGCCUUCACCUUAAAAAAAAAAAAAAAAAAAAAAUUUCCUGGCCUGGUAAACCAUUGCAAAGCAUCUCCAGGCUGUUGACGUACAAGUGUUUUUUCUCUGCCUCACUUGAUGCUGGUCACAGUAAUAGCAACGGUGAUUAAAAAUGAUGUUGGGACUGCAGAACUGGGGAGGCCUGUCGCAUUCUAGAGACAGUUCAGAAAGCAGACCGUAGUCGCUUGCCACGCUGCCUACCAGGAAAUCUCCUAUUGAAUGCAUUCCUGCAAUGUUCUGGGCGAGCAGGGUCAGGUUGGAAUUAGCCGACAGCGGAUUUGUCUGGGGUCUCAAGAUAAAAGGGAUGGUCCCCGGUAAUUGUACCGUACACUUGGCUGAUAUCUGGAGGCACCUGUGGGAUCCCACCUCUGCUCUCCCCACCCCCUUCCCACCGCGGGCCAGGAAGGACCGGUGAAUUCUGCCCAUCAGUGUUUUAUCUUCUCUCCUCCCCAUCUGACCGGAGGCUGAGCUGGCUGUGAGCAGCCUGAGGUCCUCCCCGAGUGAGGAAUCCGAGGCUGUUGGGAAGAGACACCCGACUCUUCUCUUCCCUGAAGGAAUUUGACAAGUCUCAGCCCCUCCAGCAGUAACGUGGGGAGGGAUGGCUGGGGGUGUUGGACCUGGAACACGAAUAAAGAGGAGAGAUCAGCUUUGGUGCAGCUGGGGAGACGAGGAGGAGCCGGCCAAGUCCCUCAAGAUGUGUCGGCUAGAGUCUGGCCAGUGCAGGCUGCCGGGCCGGAGCCAGAUGGAGCCGCUGGCCACGCUCAGGAGCCUCUGCCCCCAUAUGGUGUGGUGUGGUCCUGGGCCUGGCUCAGGGUGGCCGCUGCUCCCAUUCACAGCUCUGCCCUGCCCUUGGCUGGACUGGGAAGAUCAGAGUGGGAAGCGGAGGGAAAGUUGAUUUUGCUCCUUGUGACGCAGUUGUCUGCGGGGCCUCUGGCGUUUCCAGACUUGGGGUGGGUGCUUCCCCGUUGAUUUUCCUCAUUUUGUUCGUCAUCUGCUUCCUUGCUCCCUGCUUACCGGGCUGGCUUCUGCAGCCAUGACACGGGCAUUACGUGUCCCCAGCCAAGCUAGCACCACGGUUGGCGUCCCCUGAGAGGGGGACCGGGCAUAUCUGGCACUCGGUUCUCAACCUUUGAACCCCUGUGCUCUGGGAGCCAGGAGGCAGAGUGGGGCCUCUCCACCCGGGGUCCAGCAGAGGUUAACAGGGCUGGUGGUGCCGGAGCUGCGGUGGUGUGGCCUGGCCAGGAGGCGCUGGGGAGGGGCCCCGCCGGGGGACCUGAUUGGUCAGCACCUUCUCUGUUCCACUGAAUCCUGAGCCGGUCGGGGCCGUGAAUUGUUUAAUGCAUAUCUUGGCUCUGUCCCCUGGCACGAGGGCCUCCGAGGCUGCAGCCACAGCUUUAGCGAGGAUGUGUACCUCGUGCUGGUCACUGUUUUGGGCACGUUGCCUCCCUGUGAGAUAUGAAAGAGAUACUGCCCUUUCCACUAGCAGGCUGUCUGUGGGAGGCCCUCCUUUUGCGUUGCUUUUCUGGGCCUUGGAGUGUCUGUGAAGAAGGCCUGGGCUGGGUUUGAUUCCUUGCCGGCUCCUUUCACAGGAGGCUGCUCGUGAGCUGGUGAAGCCAGAGAAAACCUCCAGGCCCCAAGGCCCGUGCACAGCCUGAUGCGAUAGUGUCGGGCCUGGGCAGGAAGGAGCAGGGGCACGGGGAUGGAGCGAGGCACGUGGGGACGAGGUCGCGCAUCGUCUGACCACAGGAUCAGGGCAGCGGGGGUGGGGUGGGAGGAUGCGUCCGGCGUUCAACCAGCGGUGCCCGCUGCAGCCUGGAAUGGGCCCGUGUGUGCGUGGAGCCCGGGUCAGGGUCUGUCAUGAGGCGUGAGGCUAUGAGAUGGGCAUCGGGACUCUUGGUCCCGGCAGAGGGUCCCAGGAAAGGGAAACUGACUUUCGCUAAGCGUCUGUCUUUGCUGGUCUGAUUUCAUCCUCAGAGCAACCGCAUGAAGUAGGUAUUACUUCCCUUCAACAGAUAAGGAAGCCGUGCGUAGUAAUUCACUGAACCAAGGUCACAUACUUGGCAAGUGGGAUUGUUGAGCUUUAAACCCCGGCACUUUGGAUUCCAAAGCCUGUGCUUUUUCUUCACCCUCUUGGGUGGAAGUCAGACAUCUUUGGGAGCUAAGACCAUCAGAGAUCAGGCAGCAGGGAGAUCUGACGGAAACCGGUGUGAAAGGCCAGGUGCCUAGGGGGACGUGGCAGCCACUGGCCAUAGCCAUGCCAUAUCCCUUUCGGGGGGAGGGGGGCAAGGCAGAGACAGCUAGUUUCUGGUGUCCCUGAACAGGCAGGGCUGAGCAUGGCAGAUACACCCACGCCACAAGUGUGCGCCCAGUCUCUGCUUCGUGGCGGGGCAUGUGCUAGGAGCUGGGGACGCAGAACUCUACAAAACCAAGUUUCUGCUCUCCUGGGAUGUACUUUCUGGUGUAGGGAGAGGUCGUUCACGAUAAUAAAAAAGGAAUUAGGAACUAUAUAAAGUAUGCAGAUACACAAAGGGGGACACCCACCCAUAAGAAGCAGCGAUCCCAAUGUUGGUCGGGGAGGGAAUUUGAGAGACUGAAGGAUCUCGACCACCUGGGGAAGCCAUAUUGAUGGAGCCCCCAGAGUUCAAGUUGAUAGAGUUGCUAAUGCCUCUCUUUUCCUAAGAGCUGGAAAAACCCCCCAAGGUCCCCAAAGCUUACAAGAACGUGCAGUGAGUCAGGGAUCAAGGUGGCAGUAGACGUCAAGCCGUUGGUCACCGGCAAAGGAAGGUUUUUCCGUUAGCCAUGGCUGCUCUUGGCCUAACGUCUCCCCCCCUCACCAGGUGGCAGCUGGCGCCUCUCUGCCUCGUCACGGUGCCCCUCUCUCGUCCACACCGACAGGGGAGCGCUCGGGUUAAGUCUUCGCCAAGUCACCAGUAAAAUAUGUGCCUGCAGGAGACAGAACUCAGCUCAGGCUCUCCUGGCAGAACCCGCGGUUCCAAGAUUAUCGCGAUAGGGACGGGUCAGGGGGCGGGAGAAGGAGGAGAAGUCACCUUGUGCCAGAUGCUUGGACAAGUUUUGUGUCCAAAAGAGGUUGAGGCAAGUUGGUGGCUGGAGAUGGGGGAGGGGAUGUCUCCAGCGUGUGCGGCUCCAGGGCUCAGGAGUUGUUUACAGGGUAGAAGCUUAUGGUGAGUCAGGCCACGUGAUUCUUCCCUCCCUGGCCCCGUGGUCGAAGUCUGCCCCACUUGAACCUCGGAGACUGCCACCUGCUGCCAGGGGGCAGAUGUUGCACGAAGGUGCCGUGUGGGUCUUGGGGUGUGGUUGUGGGAACUCCGGGAAAGGGGGCGUUCUGUGGCGUGGUAUAGAAGUCUCCACAGUCCCGUGUUCUGGCCCAGGAUCCCGUGGUAAAAUCUUACUCACUUUACCCUUUUGGGACUCACUUUCAUUAUUUCUAAGAUGAGGGGGCUGAACCAGAAUCUUUUGGGAGGUGCCUGCCGACUCUGACAUGGGGGCUACCUGGGUGUUCUCGGAGGUGUUUCUUAGGCAGAAACUCAGGUCGGGAACAAGCAGGCCUGACUUACAGGAGAGGGGAGGGGCCUUGAAGGAUCUGAGAACAGCUACAGUCCUGUUUUCUGCAGGGAUGCUGUCACCAUCAAUUAGGGCAGGUGGGUGGAGACAGUUUUCCAGGAACUCUUCAGGAGCGAGCGGGAAGGGGCCGGAGAUUGCGUGAAGGUGUCUCAGGAAGGUCACCCAAGUGACAGGGGUUGUGACCUCUGGCUCCCACCAAGGGGCCUGUCUGGAGCUGGGCAGUGUGGGAGCCGCUGGGGUCUUUGCUGUGCCACAGGGGCUGACCUGAGAUGCCACCGUGCUCUAGGGAAGACGCUCUGUCCUUUGUGGCCCUGAAUCCUCGAGGGAACACGGGACUACCGGUCCCGUGUCCUGGGCCUUCCCUGAGACGUCUGUUCAGGGUCUGUGCCCCUUGCUGUCAGGAAGUCUUCCUUUAUAUUUAGCCAUUUUUUUCUCAUGUGGUUGUUUAAGCCCUUCUAUUUAAAAAAAAAAAAAAAAAAAAAAAAAAAAAAAAAAGACAAGAGAAAAAAAACAAAAAACAAAAACAAAAAUAUCUCUGAGCCACUUGGUUCCAUUUUAGCUUUUCAAUCUUGAGUCACUGUUUUAAAGGUAGCAAAAGUAAAACACAUGCAGGGAAGCUCAAGGCCCCAGACCCUCGUGGGCUGUUGUGAAAGGCCAGCCCGGGGACAUGGCGGCCUCUGUCCCCGACGUCCCCCGCUUCUCCAAGGCUGCGUGGGUAGGAGCCCCUGGGGCUGCGGGCACAUGCUGCGCGGGCCGCAGAAUGGAAUGCAGGGUUUUUCAAAUUAGCAAUAUGCCUUCAAGACACGAUCCGUGUGCUGCUUUACUGGACACUUACGCUGGGACUUGUAGCUGUGAGCCCGCCCCCUUCCCCACCAGGGUGGGGUGGCAAACAGGGAUUUGGGCCAGGAUUCAGGCAGGAGCCGAACUGAUCCGUGACCGACGUCUUAUGCGCACCGUGUGUUGUUUUUGCAGCUCUUUUCAGAUUCGCUGGCUCGCUUGGUCCUCACGCAGCCCUGUGAGGGUCGGCGGUGGGAUCCCCGUGGGUGUUCAAGCUCAGCCUCAGACAGCCCUGCUGAGGUCCGGUUUCUUGUACCUGCUUAAUUUGGGUCACCGCACACCCCCACCCCCCCCCACCCCCGCCCCCAGGCCCUCCGACUCCAGAUGUCAUUUCCUUGGUUUCAGUUGUGCUCUUUAGCUGAGCAGGGGGGCAGGGCAGGGAUGGGGAGUGCAUCUUGGGUAGCCAACUUGAUCUCUGUAGGUUGCAGGUUUCUUUUCUACGCAUCGAAUGGGGAAGGGAGCCUCCGCCCAGGUUCUCCUGUUCUUGGAUUGUUUCAACUUCUCUUACGAGGAGUUCUUAUGAAACCUGGCUUGCCCUCUUUGACCAGGAAGCCAGCCAUUCACCAUGUGUCUCUGGUGAGACUCCCUACGUUUGGAAGCUUCUGGAAUAUACGGCGCUUUAGACCGUUGCGACACAUCUGUCGGGCACUUCAGGCAUGUGCAUGUAGCCCUGUUUCUGCCAAGUGGCUCACUUAGAAAUGAAGCCCCAUUGUGGGGCAUUUUUUUUCCAGUAGAUUUAUAAGGUAUGCCCAGAGCUUUCUGCCCAGCGUGUGCAUCGUGUAUACGUUAUCUGUUUGCUGGCUAAUGAACGUACAGCACCUGCUGGAAGGAUUGGCCAAUGUAUACUAUAAGCUGGUGGAACCAGUGGCUUCAGCUCUGAACGUUGCUUUCUGAUAGAGUUGAAAAAGUAGGCCUUACCCACAGAGGGGAAGGUGGAUCAGAGAACGCCUGGGCAUCAGUGUUCCCUGGAUACUGGGCGUAAGCCCACUCUUUAUGAGGAGGGUCGAGGCACAGCCUGGACUGUGCCUUCUGGGCCGCGUGGCCCUCUGAGUGGCCUUUAUUCAGAGAGACCCAGAGCGAGCCUGUAUGAAGGGAGAGAGAAGUGCUUGUCUUUGUUUAUGGCACCCUUCACUCGUGAUGGUUUGGGCUCACCUCGGGCACGUUUCUUGAAGGAUCGGGGUCGGACAGCGUGGCAGCACGCAUAUGUCUGUCCGUUCGUGUUCCCCGGAUGCAGGCUUGGCUCCUAGAGAAGCCCUGCCAUGGGGAAUCCAUAGAAGAAUUGUUUUGCUGGAGCGAAGGCUUUUGAUAACUUUUGUGUGAAGAUGUGUCACACCACACCCAGAUCUUUCUGUUCUCCUGGAGGAUGGGAAGGAGGAUGGCAGGACCUGUAGCUGGGAGGCGAUCUAGGCCAGCCUUCAGGGAGGGCUGUGGCGGCCUCUUCGCUGAGGGCUCCCAAAGAGACACAGAGCUUCUUUAUCUCAGAAGAGGGACUGGAUGUCCCUGUCGAGGUCCCUCGGGUCCUGAGCGUGUGGGACUGUGAGGCUCUCCCUGGAACAGCGUGAACUUCGGGUACCGGGACCCAGAGCAGGUUGCACAUCUUUUCUUUCUGCCGUGGAGGCAAGCCUAACCUUGGUGGGCCCCACGAGCAUCGGGCCUGGAGCUCUAACCUUGUUCCCUCGUGCAGAGAGAAUUCCCAGAACUGACCCGAACAGCAUUGAUAUUAUUUGCAAAUAAAAAAAGGAGAAAGCCAUGUUGUCCCUCAUCGCUGCCAGGAAAGAGCCCUGAGUGGCUCUAAUCCUGUCUUUGUACCACUGCCACUCCCCACCCUUGCUGACCACCCCCCCCCCCCCAGCCUAGGGCCCUUUGAUAGGCACUAGAGAUGUGAAUGAGUUUGGUGGGAAGGCCAAGGGCAGGGACAGACAUGGUUUGCUGGGAAGAAGGUAGGACAAGGAAAAGGAGUAUCUCAGGGCAGGCCCACGGGCACACAUGUGUAUUCAGAUGGACAUACUAUUUACUGGUAACGCCAGAGUCUGACAUGAACCAGUUAAUGCCUAAAUGAGGGUUGAUUUCGUGUGGAGAAUCAUACAUCAUUUUGUGUUUAAGUCUGCAGCUUUAGCAUCAAAAGGCCUGACAGGCUGGGGACCUUUCGCUGGGCCCUCCUGUCUGUAAGAUCAUGCUCAUUUUAUAUUGAUUUUCUGUCUCCUUUCUUUCCUGUUUUCCACUCCCAUGCAUUCCUUAGGCGUACGUGAAUAUUUGUCCACGCAUUCGUGUUACGACUUCCUUGGGGUGCUGUUCUUUCCAGUGUCUCCGACAUCAUUGAAUGUAUUGCUUUUAUUUAAAAUGUGAACAGGCCAGAGGCUCACUGCAGAGGGGAGCCAUCCUUGCACUGCCCACAGAAUCCUCUUCUCUACCUUGUUCUGGAGUAGGGCAUGUGGAGCCCUGAGGAGACGGGAAUCAAGGGUGUCUGUGGGAACCAGCCAGACCCCGUGCCAUGCCCCCUGUUUGGGAAGGGGUUGCUCAGGCAUGAAUCCCCCACCCCUAACAUUAUUAGCAGUUUCUUCUUUUUAGCUUGAACCCUGAGUAGUGGCUUUGAAAGUCCAAGAACACCUGUCACCCUGCUUAGGUGAGGGCGACAGAGAGGGACGGGGACAGACGGGAAGGGGACAGACGCUCCUGGCCACGGGCCUCUCUCCAAGACAGGUGAACUCUGUGUUCCAAAAGGAACUCAUUUAAUCUUUUGGCCCCAAUGGAAGUUGUUUGUAUUUUCUCUCCCUCUGUCUUCUCCCUCCUCUCUCUCUCCCUCAACACCCCCGCCUCCACCCUCCAGCCUCCAAAAGAAUUUAAUCUGCUGGACAACAAACAAUACUGUUAUAAAACUUUGAAAACAAGAGGGUGAGGCCUCCCUGACAAGGAGAAGGGCAUGCCGGGUAACGGCCGAGGGAGCCUGCCAGGCCCGGGACGGAGCCGGGCGAGGGCCCAGUUGGCCGGGUACCUGGGCGCCUGCCCCCACCCAGCCCACCAGCCCAGCCAUCCCCAGUCCAGAGGGGAAGGAACCGAAACAAAAGCAGGGGCAGAGAAGCGCCUGGAAAGGGGAAGUUGUACGUGUUCCCCUCUCUCUGAUCUGAUGCGAGUGCGCCAGACUGUGAAACUUCCUCCCCCACCCCUCCCCCGCCAGCCUCCCUCCCUCCUCAUCCUGCCUCCUCCUGCCUCCUCCCACCACUCUCUGUUCCAGGCCCGAGGCCCGAUAACAGAACAGGGCUGGCCUAGGUACAGCCACCGGCCAGCCGGCCGGCUGCAGGGGAAGCAGGCAAGGAAGGUGUUCCAAGUUGGCUUUGGACUCUGGACAUACCCUCUGCGUCCCUUUCCUGCCCCCAGCUAGAGAUGUGGAGCCACGGUGCGAGGUGUGCCCCAGUCCACGUGCCCCACCAGGGGUGUGCCCAGCUACCGGGAGAACCUCCGCUUGGAGGUUAGUGGGUCUGUCCCACUACCCGGUGUCUGCUGGAGGCCAUGCUCCCAGGAGGCCGUCAGACUCGUACAGGUGGCCUGCUCUCCCUCCAGAGGGAGCCGGGCUGAGCUAUGGAGCCCUGGAGCCUCCAGAGGGGCUCAGGGGACAGAGACUUGCUCCCCGCAGCAAGCAGGCACAGGGUCCUGGCAGCGGGUGCCUGGUGGGGUACCGUGUCUGCUGCUCGGGGUGACCCAGCUCUGCCUGGGGAGCAGGCAAGCUGGGCGCUGGGGCAUCGCCCCCCAGCCUUCUGAGUGGAUUUCACCUGAGACCGAAGUUUCGCUGCCACGCCCACCUGCACUGCGUGGAGCACAUGAUUUGGGACGGGAGAGUGAGAAGCAGCGGUGGUCUGCCUUUGGCCUGAGGUUGUUUGGACCCGUGAACCGUGUGGUGGGCAUUGUGUUUGUGUAAUGGACUGUAGGCGUGCUCGCUUUCCUCUCGUGGGAAGCAGUUCAGGGCAGUGCCCGUCCUCCUGCUCUGCCUGAGCGAAGCCUCUCUCUGGGGAAGUGUGGGGGCCCCCCCCCUUCAUUCCAUCGCUCCUCCUUCUCUGCGCUCCCCACUGUCCCCUGCUGCCCCCCCCACGCCCCACGGCACCCCAAGGCAUCCCAUCCUCCCAGCCAGCCGACCAGCCAUCCCGAGCCUGGGCCUGUACUGAAUCUGGAGGAUUUCCAGAUGCGGGUCUUCUCUGGUGUUGAGGCAGGGACAGAGAACCGAACCGGGUGGAAAGCAGCUGCCUGGGAACUCAGGCCGCGGUACCCCGGCCCUAGGGAAAACCGGCAUUGCUGAUGUGGGGCCCAUGUGACAUGAGAAGGCUGUGACCUCCUGCCCUGUUACCUCCACAGACAUUUGAGGGGCUCAGUGGGUCUAGAGCAUGUUAUUCUCACUUCGGGAUGCCGGGUCUGGGACAUGUAGGGAUCCCUGGAUGCCCCACCCUCCUUUUGGGGGCCAAGCUGCCAGGAAAAGAGCCAGCUCCAUGUUUCCUGCCUCCCUCACCCUCCAUUCCCUCCUCCCUUGCCCCCCGUGCACAUACCCAUACACAUUUUAUCACCCUUUCCUCUGAUUCAUUAACCACGGCUAGUUGGCAACAGGCCCCCACCCUGACAGCUCAAGACAAAAUGUCCAGGACACUGGGUCUGGCCUGGAGCUGAGUGACAGGAAGCUGGGCCGGGCCUCUCGGCUCACGCAUACAAUGGGCAAGGACCGUGUGGAGUGCAGAACCUUCCUCAUUUUCAAAAGGGUCUUCCCCAGGCCCCUCUCUCUCACCAAGAUGACUCUUCUUCGAUGCCAGGAGCCUGGAAACCAGCAUCCCGGGUAGCAGGAAGACCUGAUCUGGGCUCUGCUUCCGGCACCCCUCCCCCGCGCCGGCUGGAGCUUGCGUCAGUCGUGUAAGUAGCCGUGACUCAGCACCCAGCCUGGUCGGGAGGGAGGCAGAAGACGCCUCCCAGGAACCUUCCCAGCAUUCUGGAUUUGAACACAUGGUGGUGGCUGAACACACUGAACGAGCUGGCGGCCUUCGGUUCCUGGGGGUGCGUGUCUGUCCGUUCCGCGGGUUUGCUUAUAGGUCUCAUAAACCGGGGUUCCUCUCCUUCCCGUUUUCAUCCCGUGUUAUUUUUUGGACCCCAUGCCUGGCAUAGGAUUUUUAGGACUUUAAAAGGCACAGACGGCAUCAUUUCUAGAACGCAGCAGAAGCUCUCUUUGCAGUCUCCAGACUGCCCUUUAAACCGAUGGCCCAUGAAUCAUCUUUAACCCUCAGAUGUUUUUGUUUGACUUACAGAGUUUUCGUUGUUUUUGUUUGUUUGUUUGUUUAACGUGUCCGAUUCAGACAUGCUUUUAGACAAAACACAGCCUCUCCAGGUCACUGGACUUCUGCUGCACGAGGUCUCUGCCUCUCUGUCCUCUUUCCCACCCCAGCCCUCAAGCAUUUGAAUGCACGGAGACUGGUCUGCAUGAGCCCUCCCUCGUUUUGGAAAAGCUGGGGCCCAUUCCAGGGAGGUGCGGGUCCCCCGUUCUCAAGUCUGGGCCGCGCAGGAAUUAAAGCCCCUGUGUUCUGAUUCACUGUGUGGUGACCUUUCCUCCACCCUCGGUCGCUGCCCGGGCAGAGGAGUGUCUAGGCAUGAGGGGGUGGAAAACCCUCCAAAUAGAACGUCUGCACAGAAAUGGACGGAGGCUGCACCGUGCUUCCCAGACCUUCUCCCUGCGUGAUGGCGUACCCAGCUCUCUGGCUGGGCGGUUUCCCUUCCCCGACAGCGCACCAGACUCUUCCCACUGGCCCGUGUGCGUGGGACUGUUGGGCCAGGCUGGGACGAUCACACCGUCCGCCUUUGACACCAGAGCCCUAGCAGGCUGGGGCCUCCAGCCCCCGUUAGACCACCUGGCCCCGUCUAACAAGGGAACAGAAACACCAGCUAGCUUCAGGUAAGUGCAUCCUUGCUCGAUGGACUUUUGCCAGAAAAGCCUGGUUCCCCUGGGAGGGCUGAGACCCGAGCAGACUCCUGUUCAGUGGGGUUGGGAGGGCAGAAGGUGUUGAUACUAGGAUUACUUACCCCCACCCCCACCCCCGCACGCCCCGCCUUUUCUUGUCUUACGGUGUUUAUGUUCAUGUGUUGUGAAUGAUUUCUCUCUUCCUCCAGAGAACUGAGUGUUGUAGACCUCGGUCUGGGGGCCCAGACCCCGGUUCAUGGCCCUCAGUUCCCUCAGUAACGGUUGCCACUCCCCCUCUGAACUCAGGGCCGAUGCUUCCUGGGUAGCGGGAGAGACUGUAAUGAAUCCCCCUGAUGACCACGUGACGUACGUGCGUCCUGAAGGACAAGAACUAGGUGCUGUGAGAGGGCGUAACCCAACACCUGGCUCACCUGGGGAAAGCUUCAGGCGACCUGCGUCACCUGGGAGAGGGUUGAUGGGGUGGUAGCCCUGGGAGAGUGGACGACAGAGAAUGUUCCAGAAAGAGGGAAUGGUGUACGCAGAGGCCUGCUAGGGGAGGAAGGAGGCUGUCUGGAUCACUGAAAGACACCUGUGUGACAAUACCUUGGGAAAGGUUUUGUGGAUACUGGCUGUCGGGGGUUACUAAGGAGGAAGAGUUCGGCUGGAGUAAAAAGCAAAAAAGCUGAGAAGUAGCAAAGGUAGAUCUCCAACCCCCUCGUUUUAUAGGACCCCACAGAAAUGACUCUCAUUUACCACUUACUUCCUGACCUUAAAACCCUGGAAGUUAACCUGUGUCGCGGGGCCCAGCUGUUGACUGCAGGUGCCCUGUGUCAGAGCCGCUGCCCAGCUCCUCCCUCAGUGGCUGGGGCCUCGCAGAGCCCCUGGGCUCGGAGCCCAGUGCUGGGGUCAGAAUCCAGAGUCCAGCACAGCCAUUGCUGGUGGUUCAUCUCCAACGCCUCCCCCAACCGCAGCUACGCUCUAGGAGAGCACAGAGGCUCCAGAGGGGCAGGAGGAGUGGGCGAGCCAGCUGGGGGCACCGGGCCCCUCACGGGACCAGCUGGGCUCCCAUCUCCACCAGGUUAAACGUGUUGUGCAGUCAGUCACAUCCACGGCCAUGCAGAAACCUUGCCUAGGACUCCCCCCACCCCACCCUUGCUCACAAUUGAGUUCAAGAACAGAAUGAGAUGAUAGACCAGCCGUGGAGCAGGUGCAGUGGACAGAGGGGCAGGAACACAGACUCUGGAGUUAGACUUGGGGUCUCUCUACCACGUAGUAGUCACGUGACUGUGGCGAGUCACCGAACUGCAUGAAGGAGCAAUUUCUCCUGCAGGCACGGGAAUACUAUUUGCUUCACAAGACCGACCCAAUUACAAAGCACACCUCAGUGUUCAAAUUUUAUUUCCUUCUCCUGCCUGCAGCGGCACAUGCUGUUAUUUCCGGGAGCCACAAUAAAUACAGGCCUGGAUCUGGAAGCCUUCAGAGCUGGUAGACAGCCCGAAAGAUCCAGAUUCUACUCUGUCUCCUCUUUCCUUAGUUGUGGCAUCCCGGGAGAUACAGACCUGUUUUCUCAGCUUCCGAUGACCAAAACAAAAGCAAACAAACAAACAAAAAACCCGACACAUUUAGGAGAUGGGAAAUCUAAUUUGAACACAGGAUGCAAAUCUUAUUUUCAGACACAUUUUUGAAAACAACACAAAACUCGGUCCUUGUGUUAGAGGAUUAUCUACUUAACACCGCUUCAGGACACGACAUUUGUGUGUGUGUGUCACAGCAGAGGUUAAACAAAGAUUGCUAAUGUUCUGACCCUUACUUGAGGCUGGGAAGGUGGACCCCAGGCUCUUCCUGAAUAGGGCGCAUCAGGAGUUGCCCCCGAGCAGGUGAAACUCACCUGGCUCGAACCUCCUAGGCAGAUAGGACGCUUGUUUCCUGAUGACGUGACAUAGUAUCAGAAGACACUGCGUGCUGUGAAAUGUUUUCGAGAGCAGGGGGCGAUGCUAAUGAAAACGUUAACGCAUUCUCAUAAUAGCUCUGGGAUACUUCCCUCCAUCGCAUGUGUAAUAAACUGUUAGGACUGGUUGUCCAGGGUCAACUAGGCUCCAUGAGUUUUGUAUUGCUACUGUCUGUGUGACGAGUCAGCCGCGACUUUCACAUUCCUUGAGCAUCCCUGGCUAGGUCCGCUCUGUGCCUCUCUCACGGACCGCGAUGUCCCGCCCCAAGUGGAACUGCAAGAAGACAGGGCAGCACCUGGGUCUUCCGGUUGUGUCUUCCUUCUUUCUUCAAUGAGAUCCUCUUCUUCUGGAAGCUGGUUUCACAUGGUGGCUUAGAUUUUUCCAUCUUUGUAUCUAGCACCAUUUGAAAUCAGUGUUUUAGGAGUAAGAAUUGCGGCGCAGCAAAGGGCCACCUGCAGAGGAGCUCUCGCUGGUGGGACAGAGCCCCUCCUUCUGCCGCCUGAGCCGGUCCAAGAGAGGAAGAACUUGAAAAGGAAAAGUGCGCCGCAGCGUAUGUCCGUUGCGGGCUGUGGAGGGGCGGCCGUGCGGGGAGGGUGUUUGUGUUUCAAAGAAACUCCGAGCUGGAGCAGGGGCCGAGGUGAUGCCUGGUUGUAGCACCUGGGAGCACCACCGGGCGCUCACCUGUCUGUAGGGCCUCUGACCGCGGGGACCAGGCGAUGCCGGCUCCUCCGUACUCGAUUGUAGCGGGGGAGGGGUGAGGCUGUGUGCCUGGAGGACGGUUCCAUCCCCAUCGGCGUUGCACCCGCUCCUAGAGGCCCCGGGACACCCAGCUGCACUUGCAGUGCGGCUGGAAUCAGACUUGCCACCUGCACGGUCAAGUGCCGGACCCCCGGGAGCACCACCGGACCCAUCUCUUACACAGGCUGACCGAUUUCUCCUGGUGUUCAGAGUCUGUUUUUGUCUAGCACCAUUUGAAAUCGGUUAUGAUGUAGGGGGAAAAGCAGCAGCCUCGAAACCUCACGCCAAGUCUGGUGAGCAACAGCCUCUGUUCUCCUGGAAGACGUGGUCUCCCGGAAGACGGAUGGGCAGAGCGUGGGGAAGGACGAUCACGCUUUUUUCACUAACUUCUUUCACUGCAUUAAUGAUACCUUAUUGCGGAGGUAAGAGAGAAUUGAAUGCAGUUUUAAAAACAAAUCGCUGUAACCUAUCUGAUGUCCUGGGGUGCAGUUUGCUAAAAUGUGGCAGUGCUGUGUAUUCUGUAAAUGGCUGCUGUUGAAUUCUCUUUCUGUUAAGAGUCUAUUCAUGCAUCUUGACCUGAAUAAAUAUUUUACUCUCUUCAA
Long non-coding RNA from Prionailurus viverrinus (fishing cat), 20187 nucleotides. RefSeq lists it as uncharacterized. The transcript is spliced from 2 exons. The record is from RefSeq and is a predicted model, not a curated record. NCBI's taxonomy places the organism in Eukaryota, Metazoa, Chordata, Mammalia, Carnivora, Felidae.